Molecule: ribosomal RNA, 104 nt
Filed under: Macrococcoides goetzii
Lineage: Bacteria; Bacillati; Bacillota; Bacilli; Caryophanales; Staphylococcaceae
Description: Macrococcus goetzii partial 16S ribosomal RNA
Rfam family: Bacterial small subunit ribosomal RNA
Source: RNAcentral
ACCUUUUAGGAGCUAGCCGUCGAAGGUGGGACAGAUGAUUGGGGUGAAGUCGUAACAAGGUAGCCGUAUCGGAAGGUGCGGCUGGAUCACCUCCUUUCUAAGGA